ACAACGCGGAAUGAAACCCAGUCUACUCC
Molecule: non-coding RNA, 29 nt
Filed under: Bombyx mori (domestic silkworm)
Lineage: Eukaryota; Metazoa; Arthropoda; Insecta; Lepidoptera; Bombycidae
Source: RNAcentral